This 226-nucleotide non-coding RNA is filed under the name Aerococcus urinaehominis. RNAcentral describes it as "T-box sequence". It matches the Rfam family "T-box leader". Rfam says of the family: Uncharged tRNA acts as the effector for transcription antitermination of genes in the T-box leader family. Lineage: Bacteria; Bacillati; Bacillota; Bacilli; Lactobacillales; Aerococcaceae. The record is from RNAcentral.
GUUUGCGCGAUGAAUAGAUAAGUAAAUUAGUGUUGACUUAAGAGAGGCUCUGGCUGGUGUGAAGGGCUAGUUACAACUAAUUGAAAAUGGUCUAGGAGCGCUUGGAUGCGAAAGGAUAAACUGAGCAUCCACGUCUAGUUAACGAUAGCAAACUGCCACAUGUUGGUGUGGCUAAGAGGCAUUAAUUUGCAAAAAUAAGGUGGUACCGCGUAGAGACGCCCUUAUA